AAUAAUUUGCGACUUUUGUCAUUUUGUGCGGUUAAGCAAGAUGGCCGCUCGAUUUUGUUCAUGUUUUAAGAGUUCUGCUACAAAAAUCCACAUUUUACAGCGUUUUGCGUACUGCACCCAGGCUAAAACUGGUGGAAAGUUUGAUACAAGUGUGCUGGAUAUUUUAGUAUGUCCUCUCUCGAAAGAGCCGCUGAGGUGCGCAAAAUUUUACCAAAUAUCGAAUUUCAAAAAUAUACGUUUUGUUCAUGUACUUCGUACAAUGUGUGCUAGACCCACCUACAAGAACAUCUAUAAAUUGUAGUUAAAUUACUAUUAAUAUUUGCUGGGUUUUUUGACUGACAAAAUGUUGUUACUGACAGCUAAAUUUUGGGUUGAAUUUAGCAACCAAAAAUUCCUAUAUAUUUUCAGUUUUUUUCUGACAUCAUUUCUAAUUUUAGGUAUGACGAAGCAAAUAAUGAGCUGGUGAAUGACAAGCUGAACGUUGCGUAUCCAAUAAAUGAUGGCAUUCCAAAUAUGAACCCAAAUAAUGCUCGAAAGAUCAACAAAGACACAAAAGAGUAAUAGAUAAUUAGAGAGCCUUACCGUAAAAUGUGGUUUGGCUCUAAAACUGUGCCAAAUCAUUCCUGAGAUAGGUUGGAGAAACAGAGAGCUAAUAGGUUCAAGUUUAUUGAAGAGAUAAAAUUGAGUUAUACCAAAUUGCUUUUAAAGACUACAAAUAAUUUCUACA
Molecule: non-coding RNA, 727 nt
Organism: Paramuricea clavata
Lineage: Eukaryota; Metazoa; Cnidaria; Anthozoa; Malacalcyonacea; Plexauridae
Source: the annotation of a GenBank genome assembly